Molecule: ribosomal RNA, 460 nt
Filed under: uncultured bacterium
Lineage: Bacteria
Description: partial 16S ribosomal RNA
Rfam family: Bacterial small subunit ribosomal RNA
Source: RNAcentral
CCUACGGGGGGCUGCAGUGAGGAAUAUUGGUCAAUGGACGAGAGUCUGAACCAGCCAAGUAGCGUGAAGGAUGACUGCCCUAUGGGUUGUAAACUUCUUUUAUAAAGGAAUAAAACGAGGCACGUGUGCCUUUUUGCAUGUACUUUAUGAAUAAGGAUCGGCUAACUCCGUGCCAGCAGCCGCGGUAAUACGGAGGAUCCGAGCGUUAUCCGGAUUUAUUUGGUUUAAGGGGAGCGUAGAUGGGUUGUUAAGUCAGUUGUGAAAGUUUGCGGCUCAACCGUAAAAUUGCAAUUGAUACUGGCAGUCUUGAGUACAGUUGAGGUAGGCGGAAUUCGUGGUGUAGCGGUGAAAUGCUUAGAUAUCACGAAGAACCCCGAUUGCGAAGGCAGCUUACUAAACUGUGACUGACAUUGAUGCUCGAAAGUGUGGGUAUCAAACAGGAUUAGAUACCCGGGUAGUC